CCUACGGGUGGCAGCAGUGAGGAAUAUUGGUCAAUGGACGAGAGUCUGAACCAGCCAAGUAGCGUGAAGGAUGACUGCCCUAUGGGUUGUACACUUCUUUUAUAAAGGAAUAAAACGAGGCACGUGUGCCUUUUUGCAUGUACUUUAUGAAUAAGGAUCGGCUAACUCCGUGCCAGCAGCCGCGGUAAUACGGAGGAUCCGAGCGUUAUCCGGAUUUAUUGGGUUUAAAGGGAGCGUAGAUGGGUUGUUCAGUCAGUUGUGAAAGGUUGCGGCUCAACCGUAAAAUUGCAAUUGAUACUGGCAGUCUUGAGUACAGUUGAGGUAGGCGGAAUUCGUGGUGUAGCGGUGAAAUGCUUAGAUAUCACGAAGAACCCCGAUUGCGAAGGCAGCUUACUAAACUGUGACUGACAUUGAUGCUCGAAAGUGUGGGUAUCAAACAGGAUUAGAUACCCUUGUAGUC
This 460-nucleotide ribosomal RNA is filed under the name uncultured bacterium. RNAcentral's name for it is "partial 16S ribosomal RNA". It matches the Rfam family "Bacterial small subunit ribosomal RNA", at positions 338 to 795 of the family's 1533-position model. The record is from RNAcentral.